This is a long non-coding RNA of Oncorhynchus tshawytscha (Chinook salmon), 1108 nucleotides long. The record is from Ensembl. NCBI's taxonomy places the organism in Eukaryota, Metazoa, Chordata, Actinopteri, Salmoniformes, Salmonidae.
GUAUACUUUAGUUGCUAAUGGAAGCCUGCAGUACCUCGAGUGGCCUUCAACUUGAGAUACUCCAUGAGAGGAGGCAGCACUGAGCAGUCCUGCAACGUCACUUUCUAGAGUAGCUCAAAAUGUGCGUACAAUGUUUCCAAAACUCCUCCAUGUAAGCAAGAUUGCGACACGCUGAAAAGACACUUCCUGCUCAUCUUAACAAGCUGAGCAUUCUCAUAGGAAACAAUUGGGUGACGUCAUCGAUGGCUUCUUCCAUGCAUUUCACGGUCUUUGGUUAGAACACAUCCCAGGAAUGGACUGGCAUUUUGAGAGUGAAUAGAAGCUUAUUAUGCAGAAUCGGAGGUUAUAAAGGACGAUUUGCCCUGGAGAGCUAUGGGCCAGUCAAAACCCAGCGUCCUGGAGCCCUCUCUAGAAUGCUGAACCAAUAGCGGAGCACCUCAGCCUCUGUUCCACCAACCUCAAAGCCCGCCCACUGGAGGUGCACCGUGGCAACCAGGUGAUGGACGCGCCCCAGAGUUCUGCAGAACCCUCCACUCAGCACUCCACUCAACCCUGAACUCAGCAGAUCGAUUUGGGAGGAAGAAAUAAGGAAAGUGUGUGUUUUACUCCCUCCGGUGGUUGCAGUUUGUAACUACAGCAGUGGUGUGAUUAACUGUUGCUAUGGCAGCCAGGGUCAGCUCUCAGUCCUGUUGUCAUGGAAACGAGAGUGAGCAGCCCUGUCUGUGAGUAUUGUGCAUGUUACAUGUGUAUAUCUGUUGUGUAUGAGAGUGAUUUACUGUAUGUGUUACCGUGUGGAUGUGUGAGUGACGUGUGUGUUACCGUGUGAUGUCCCAGAAUCUCCAUGAUGUCCUUGAGCGUCUGGGACCCGUUACCCAGAAUUGUCGGAACAUUGUUACCAUGGUUACGGUAACCACCGCUGGCCCUGUCACCAUGGUGACCACUGGGGUCAAGUCUGUGGAUGAGGAACCCUGUAUUACUCUCAUCAGAGAGAGAGAGAGAGAGAGAGAUACUGCUUUAUAUUAUUAAAUCGUUUGGGGAGGCAUGGCAGUGAUGUUAUGAUAUUGUAUAAUGAUGGUAAUGAUAUAUUUGGUUCACAUAUACAUUGAGU